AAAGGCAACUCACAGAGAUCUGCAUUGAUCACUGCAAUGCAUCCCUAUUUGUUAUUAUUGUAAAAUUAUAGGGAUGCAUUGCAGUGAUCAGUGCAGAUCUCUGUGAGUUGCCUU
This is a non-coding RNA of Podarcis lilfordi (Lilford's wall lizard), 114 nucleotides long. Lineage: Eukaryota; Metazoa; Chordata; Lepidosauria; Squamata; Lacertidae. The record is from the annotation of a GenBank genome assembly.